RNAcentral lists this long non-coding RNA (402 nucleotides) under Androctonus crassicauda. Lineage: Eukaryota; Metazoa; Arthropoda; Arachnida; Scorpiones; Buthidae. The record is from RNAcentral.
UUUCAUAGGUAUAACAGAUGUUGUCAUUUGCCUUAUAUCAUAACAUGUAUUGAAUGUUGUCUCUAGAAUGAUAUCAGUAUGGGCAUCAUUGUUAUUGUGACAUAGCUGAGUAUGACUCCAUGUUUGGUGAGAAGUUUUGCAGAGAAAAUCAUUUCUGAUACUUCUGAAUGUUUGUCACAGCAGCCUAUUCAGCUGUUGAUUGAUUUUAUUCUUAAUAAAGCCUCACAAAGCAUUAUCUGGAGUGCACAAGCAAGAGCUUAUUGGUGGCCAGGCCAAGGGAUCUGUGCUAUCUCUGAUCAAUGCCCAAUCCAUUUGUUUGAAAGCAAUUCAUUAAGCCAUUUUCAAAUUCUGAUAGCAAAAUGUGCAGAGACUCCAUGUUGUUGCAGGAUUACAGUACCUGCU